GUGUCAGCAGCCGCGGUAAUACAGAGACUGCAAGCGUUAUUCGGAUUCACUGGGCGUAAAGGGUGCGCAGGCGGCCAAGUGUGUGAGGCGUGAAAGCCCGGGGCUUAACCCCGGAAUUGCACCUCAAACUACAUGGCUAGAGCAUUGGAGAGGGUAGCAGAAUUCAUGGUGUAGCAGUGAAAUGCGUAGAUAUCAUGAGGAAUACCAGAGGCGAAGGCGGCUACCUGGACAAUUGCUGACGCUCAGGCACGAAAGCGUGGGGAGCAAAAGGGAUUAGAAACCCCCGUAGUCC
RNAcentral lists this ribosomal RNA (292 nucleotides) under uncultured bacterium. RNAcentral describes it as "partial 16S ribosomal RNA". It matches the Rfam family "Bacterial small subunit ribosomal RNA", at positions 505 to 796 of the family's 1533-position model. The record is from RNAcentral.